RNAcentral lists this ribosomal RNA (253 nucleotides) under uncultured bacterium. RNAcentral describes it as "partial 16S ribosomal RNA". It matches the Rfam family "Bacterial small subunit ribosomal RNA", at positions 524 to 776 of the family's 1533-position model. The record is from RNAcentral.
UACGUAGGGGGCAAGCGUUGUCCGGAAUCAUUGGGCGUAAAGGGCGCGUAGGCGGUCCGAUAAGUCGGUUGUGAAAACUGGGGGCUCAACCCUCAGAGGCCGACCGAUACUGUCGGGCUAGAGUCCGGAAGAGGCGAGUGGAAUUCCUGGUGUAGCGGUGAAAUGCGCAGAUAUCAGGAGGAACACCAAUGGCGAAGGCAGCUCGCUGGGACGGUACUGACGCUGAGGCGCGAAAGCGUGGGGAGCAAACAGG